GGGCCCGCACAAGCGGUGGAGCAUGUGGUUUAAUUCGAUGCAACGCGAAGAACCUUACCAGGACUUGACAUACUACAAAUUCUUUUGAGAAAGAGAAGUGCCUUCGGGAAUGUAGAUACAGGUGGUGCAUGGCUGUCGUCAGCUCGUGUCGUGAGAUGUUGGGUUAAGUCCCGCAACGAGCGCAACCCUUAUUUUUAGUUACCAAUUCGUUGGGUUCUCUAGAAAGACUGCCGGUGACAAACCGGAGGAAGGUGAGGAUGACGUCAAGUCAGCAUGCCCCUUAUGUCCUGGGCUACACACGUGCUACAAUGGUUAAGACAAAGAGUCGCGAGCUCGUGAGAGUCAGCUAAUCUACUAAACUUAGCCUAAGUUCAGAUUGUAGCUGCAACUCGCCUACAUG
RNAcentral lists this ribosomal RNA (400 nucleotides) under uncultured bacterium. Its description in RNAcentral is "bacterial SSU rRNA". It matches the Rfam family "Bacterial small subunit ribosomal RNA", at positions 917 to 1322 of the family's 1533-position model. The record is from RNAcentral.